GAUGAACGCUGGCGGCGUGCCUAAUACAUGCAAGUCGAGCGAACGGACGAGAAGCUUGCUUCUCUGAUGUUAGCGGCGGACGGGUGAGUAAGACGUGGAUAACCUACCUAUAAGACUGGGAUAACUUCGGGAAACCGGAUCUAAUACCGGCUGAUAUUUUGAACCGCAUGGUUCAAAAGUGCAUGACGGUUUUGCUGUCUCUUAUAGAUGGAUCCGCGCUGGAUUAGCUAGUUGGUAAGGUAACGGCUUACCAAGGCAACGAUGCAUAGCCGACCUGAGAGGGUGAUCGGCCACACUGGAACUGAGACACGGUCCAGACUCCUACGGGAGGCAGCAGUAGGGAAUCUUCGGCAAUGGGCGAAAGCCUGACGGAGCAAUGCCGCGUGAGUGAUGAAGGUCUUCGGAUCGUAAAACUCUGUUAUUAGGGAAGAACAGAUGUGUAAGUAACUGUGCACAUCUUGACGGUACCUAAUCAGAAAGCAACGGCUAACUACGUG
Molecule: ribosomal RNA, 497 nt
Filed under: uncultured bacterium
Lineage: Bacteria
Description: partial 16S ribosomal RNA
Rfam family: Bacterial small subunit ribosomal RNA
Source: RNAcentral